This 556-nucleotide ribosomal RNA is filed under the name Diaporthe australafricana. Its description in RNAcentral is "eukaryotic LSU rRNA". The stretch from base 179 to 332 matches the Rfam family "5.8S ribosomal RNA". The record is from RNAcentral. Lineage: Eukaryota; Fungi; Ascomycota; Sordariomycetes; Diaporthales; Diaporthaceae.
GAAAUGACGCUCCGCGCAUCCAGACACCCUUUGUGAACUUAUACCUAUACUGUUGCCUCGGCGUCAGGCUGGUCCCCUCCUGGGGGCCCCUCACCUCGGUGAGGAGCAGGCCCGCCGGCGGCCAAGUUAACUCUUGUUUUUACACUGAAACUCUGAGAAAAAAACAAAAAUGAAUCAAAACUUUCAACAACGGAUCUCUUGGUUCUGGCAUCGAUGAAGAACGCAGCGAAAUGCGAUAAGUAAUGUGAAUUGCAGAAUUCAGUGAAUCAUCGAAUCUUUGAACGCACAUUGCGCCCUCUGGUAUUCCGGAGGGCAUGCCUGUUCGAGCGUCAUUUCAACCCUCAAGCCUGGCUUGGUGAUGGGGCACUGCCUUUGAGACACAAGGCAGGCCCUGAAAUUCAGUGGCGAGCUCGCCAGGACCCCGAGCGCAGUAGUUAAACCCUCGCUCUGGAAGGUCUUGGUGCGGCCCUGCCGUUAAACCCCCAACUUCUGAAAAUUUGACCUCGGAUCAGGUAGGAAUACCCGCUGAACUUAAGCAUAUCAAUAAGCGGAGGAA